This 77-nucleotide transfer RNA is filed under the name Thiotrichales bacterium HSG1. RNAcentral describes it as "tRNA-Met". It matches the Rfam family "tRNA". From Rfam's summary of the family: Transfer RNA (tRNA) molecules are approximately 80 nucleotides in length. Lineage: Bacteria; Pseudomonadati; Pseudomonadota; Gammaproteobacteria; Thiotrichales. RNAcentral also lists the same sequence under 1 other name. The record is from RNAcentral.
UGCGAGGUGGAGCAGUCUGGCAGCUCGUCGGGCUCAUAACCCGAAGGUCGGGGGUUCAAAUCCCUCUCUCGCUACCA